Long non-coding RNA from Symsagittifera roscoffensis, 320 nucleotides. RefSeq lists it as uncharacterized. The transcript is spliced from 3 exons. Lineage: Eukaryota; Metazoa; Xenacoelomorpha; Acoela; Convolutidae. The record is from RefSeq and is a predicted model, not a curated record.
UUGGCAAUGUUUUGUGUAGAGUGCAGUAUAUGUGACUGGUAACGCAGUGUUCCACACUCAGGAACUGUAUGGCCUAGUAUCGUGUGCAAUUCCCCAUCUAGUUAAUCUGCUUAAGGACACCUUCGCCAAAACACGCAUCAGUGCAGCAGCCGCUCUGGGCAAUCUCUGUCGUCAUUCUGGAGUGCUGGCCAAUCACAUGCUGAAAAGCAAUGCAAUCUCACUGUUGAUUGAAGCUAGUGUUUCUGAUGCAAACUUUGCUGUCCGAGAGAGCUCUUUGACUGCUUUAAGGAUAAUGUCCUCCCAACAGUCUUUACUCGAGG